RNAcentral lists this ribosomal RNA (552 nucleotides) under uncultured bacterium. RNAcentral's name for it is "partial 16S ribosomal RNA". It matches the Rfam family "Bacterial small subunit ribosomal RNA", at positions 355 to 914 of the family's 1533-position model. The record is from RNAcentral.
UGGGGAAUAUUGGCACAAUGGGCGAAAGGCCUGAAUGCAGCAACGCCGCAGUGCAGUGAUGAAGGCCUUCGGGAUUGCUGAAAUGCAUCUGUCUUUUGGGACGAUAAUGACGGUACCAAAGGAGGAAGCCACGGCUAACUACGUGCCAGCAGCCGCGGUAAUACGUAGGUGGCAAGCGUUGUCCGGAUUUACGGGCGUAAAGGAUGCGUAGGCGGAUUUUUAAGUGAGAUGUGAAAACCCUAAGCUUAACUUGGGGACUGCAUUUCAUACUGGAAAUCUAGAGUGCGGGAGAGGAGAAUGGAAUUCCUAGUGUAGCGGUGAAAUGCGUAGAGAUUAGGAAGAACACCAGUGGCGAAGGCGAUUCUCUGGACCGUAACUGACGCUGAGGCAUGAAAGCGUGGGUAGCAAACAGGAUUAGAUACCCUGGUAGUCCACGCCGUAAACGAUGAGUACUAGGUGUAGGAGGUAUCGACCCCUUCUGUGCCGCAGUUAACACAAUAAGUACUCCGCCUGGGAAGUACGAUCGCAAGAUUAAAACUUAAAUGAAUUGAC